CGAUGAAGGACGGGACUAACACCGAUAUGCUUCGGGGAGCGGUAAGUACGCUUUGAUCCGGAGAUUUCCGAAUGGGGAAACCCAGUCAGCUUAAUCGCUGACUACUUGACUAGUGAAUUCAUAGCUAGCAAGAGGUAGACGCAGUGAACUGAAACAUCUUAGUAGCUGCAGGAAGAGAAAGAAACAUCGAUUCCCUGAGUAGCGGCGAGCGAAAGGGGAAGAGCCCAAACCAGUAAGCUUGCUUACUGGGGUUGUAGGACUGAACAAUAGAGUUACCAAAGUGCGACGUAGUCGCAACAGUUG
RNAcentral lists this ribosomal RNA (303 nucleotides) under Limosilactobacillus rudii. RNAcentral describes it as "Limosilactobacillus sp. STM3_1 partial 23S ribosomal RNA". It matches the Rfam family "Bacterial large subunit ribosomal RNA", at positions 47 to 344 of the family's 2925-position model. Lineage: Bacteria; Bacillati; Bacillota; Bacilli; Lactobacillales; Lactobacillaceae. The record is from RNAcentral.